GCAGGGAAGCAUCUGACAGCCAGCUCAGUGUUUAUAAGAGCAAGAACGAUGCCCCAAUGUCCCGAGAAGAAGCAGAGGGGGAGGGGGAGAUCCCUGCUCUCCCCUGCACUGAUCACAAUCUGACAGCAGGUCUCCCUGACAGUCCGCUCUCCCCUGCACAUGUAUCCACCCGGACUGGAAUAAAGAAAUCCUGCUGCUUAUUACGGUACCCGGCCAUUUUCCUACCUGCAGACUGAUCACCUACAUUGCUGGCAUAGAGACUG
Long non-coding RNA from Hyla sarda, 263 nucleotides. RefSeq lists it as uncharacterized. The transcript is spliced from 3 exons. NCBI's taxonomy places the organism in Eukaryota, Metazoa, Chordata, Amphibia, Anura, Hylidae. The record is from RefSeq and is a predicted model, not a curated record.